ACAACAUUCAGACCGUCUGUCUACCGAGCAAUAUCACCCGCUCAGUGGAAGAUCUUCCAUUUGUCGU
Molecule: microRNA precursor, 67 nt
Filed under: Bombyx mori (domestic silkworm)
Lineage: Eukaryota; Metazoa; Arthropoda; Insecta; Lepidoptera; Bombycidae
Description: mir-2774 microRNA precursor family
Rfam family: mir-2774 microRNA precursor family
Source: Rfam by way of RNAcentral